UAACUCUAGUGUCUUUUCAUUUGGGGAUAAAUCUUUCCCCUUUUACUAAAGAUUUCCGUAGGGAGGCACAAUACAAUAAGUCUUGCUUCAUUUUUUUCAGCUCUGUCUUCGGACGGAGU
Molecule: small nuclear RNA, 119 nt
Filed under: Trichobilharzia regenti
Lineage: Eukaryota; Metazoa; Platyhelminthes; Trematoda; Strigeidida; Schistosomatidae
Description: U5 spliceosomal RNA
Rfam family: U5 spliceosomal RNA
About the family: U5 RNA is a component of both types of known spliceosome. The precise function of this molecule is unknown, though it is known that the 5' loop is required for splice site selection and p220 binding, and that both the 3' stem-loop and the Sm site are important for Sm protein binding and cap methylation.
Source: Rfam by way of RNAcentral